GGGGAGUGAAGCUGAGCCAGGCAGAGAGAAGGAAAAUCAUUACCGUUGUUGUCAUCGCUGUAAUACAGCUUUGGGAGGUUAUCUACAUAAUCAAUUGCAAUCAAUAAGAGUGGGAGAUGCGGACUUCCCUGGGAGCCCUAAAAUCAGACUGUGGGAUUCUCCCCAGGCCAGAAGACAGCAUUCAGGUGGGCCGGUGGUGUCGACAUAGGGUUUGAACUUGCCUUUGAAGCAAUGAAUGGGAAUUAGCUGUACAGGAAAUGAAGCAGAGGCUGGGGUCUGAGACAAGAAAAUAGCAGGUGGGAAGAAGAGGAGUGGAGCGAGGUGGGUGUGCAGAGCUGUGAGCACUGGCUAAGGUCAGCUGAGGCAUGGAUGAGCCACUCAGGGAGAGGUCGAGACUAGUUCCAGGAUCUUGGGCUCCCAGUGCCCAUGGGCACCGUGCUGGAUUGAAUCAUUGUGAAGACACCCACAGCUCUCAUUUCUAACUUUGCAAAACUGUCAUUUUCAAUCAAGGGCAGGAGCUAGCCAUGAAAUUAAGAAAUGUUAAGGAAGGUGAAGAGCUUAAGGGAAGAAAGGAAAUAUUUCAGAAUUGAAAUGGCUGGGAUGAACUCCACUGAAGGUAACAGAAUAUUGGAAUAACUGUCUGAAAAGUGGGUGAAUCAUCUCCCUGUAUCC
This 672-nucleotide long non-coding RNA is filed under the name Bos indicus x Bos taurus (hybrid cattle). RNAcentral describes it as "lncRNA (ENSBIXG00000013564.1)". The record is from RNAcentral. Lineage: Eukaryota; Metazoa; Chordata; Mammalia; Artiodactyla; Bovidae.